Small RNA from Pantoea ananatis LMG 20103, 74 nucleotides. It matches the Rfam family "Enterobacterial sRNA STnc240". The record is from Rfam. NCBI's taxonomy places the organism in Bacteria, Pseudomonadati, Pseudomonadota, Gammaproteobacteria, Enterobacterales, Erwiniaceae.
UUGGGUUGGGGCAAAAUACGCCUCCUGCAAAUUCAGAACAUAACCGACGCUCACCGCGUCGGUUAUUUUUUUGC